AGGACAAGAGUAGAGGUUACAAUUUAGCAUUGAGAGAACAAAAUCGCACGAAAGGGAAGAAUAGAAGUGAAACUUUUCCUAACUCUGUAGCCUCUAGGGAUAAAUACAGACGUCUCUGUACUGAUCCCUCAGACUCUACUAAGCUUGUCUGUGAACUGUAAGAUCCAUGUAACCUAGGGCUCUGAUACCAACUUGUCACGACCCGGAUUUUCCAUCCUCGGGAGUCGUGAUGGCGCCUACUAAUGUGAGCUAGGGAAGCCAAUUAUGUGAACAAUUUACCUUUUGUACCCAUUUUAUAUUCAUUAACAAUUGCGAAGUAAUAACAUUUAAACAACAGAAUUUACAUAAGCGAAAGUAAAAAAAAAGCAAUAAGCUAGCUGAACAUGAAUCCAAUACAACUAUUUGAGUUUCGACAACCCAGAACUGGUGUCAAAGUUUCACAGACGGUCUAAGAAUACUACAAUUAAAGGUCUGAAAGAAAUAAAUACAACACUGUCUCUAGAAAUGCAUUAAAGAAAUAGGAAUAGUAGAUAGAAGGAGAUGCCAAGGCCUGCGGACGCCUGAAGGACUACCUCAGGUCGCCUGAUGAGCAAGAAUCAUCAAUCCCACUGCGGUCCAAAGUCUACAACACUAGGGUCUACACAAAAGAGUGCAGAGUGUAGUAUCAGCACAACUGACCUAUGUUCUGGUAAGUGCCUAGCCUAACCUCGGCGAAGUAGUGACGAGGCUAGGACCAGACUACCAAAUAAACCUGUGCAAUUUAACUAUAUACAACAGAAAAGAAGUACAGAAAGAAACAGUCAUAUAAAGUCAAGUAUAGGAGGGGGAAAACAUGCUGCGGGGAAACACCGAAUAGUAACAGAAGAGCAACAAAUAAAUAUGAGGAUCACCACAGUUCAAUUGAAAAUAGGAAGGGGAGAUCAUGCAGCGGGGUGCAACAAGUAUCAACAGGAAACCAACAAUUUAGUGUAGAGAAAUCGUAACACAUUUAUCAAUAAAAAUUAGGAAAUCAAAGACAAGUGCAUGGCAUCACCGUUUGUGCUUUUACUAUCUCUCACCAAAACAAUACACGACAUCACCUUUCGUGCUUUAACACUCUCACCAAAACAAUACACGGCAUCACCCUUCGUGCUUUAAACUCUUCCUCACCUAAACAACAAUCACAAGGCAAAUAGGGUAAGGGAAUCUAUAACCUCGAAAUAAAAUCAAAUAACAAUAGAAAAUCAUAAAAUAAACGUAAAGGACAACAUAACUCAAUUAUCAGCAAGAAUCAGGAAAAUCAAGGACAAGUGCACGGCACCACCCUUCGUGCUUUUACUCUCGUCCUUACCACAAGAAUCAAUACAAUAGGCAUGGAAUUGUACAUCGUGCGGCACGGCAUCACCCUUCGUGCUUUACACUCUUUCCUCACCAUAAAAUCAAUAUAAUAGGCACGGAAUGGUACAUCGUGCGGCACGACAUCACCCUUCGUGCUUUACACUCUUUCCUCACAAAACAAACAAUGCACGGCAUCACCCUUCGUGCUUUAACUCUUUUCCUCACCCAAACAACAAUCACAAACAAUAUGGCAAGGCAAUAAAGUAAAUUUUCAAUAAGAAUUCCGGCAAGGGAGCAACAAGUCAACAAUUAAAUCCUGGCAAGGGAACAACAUCAAUAACAUCCACAUCCCGGCAAGGGAGAUAACAAAUACAUCAACAAUAGCCCGACAAGGGUGACAACAUAAUGAUCUCUUCUCUUUCUCACUUUUACUUGACAAUUCACUUCACAACUCGAGCCAAUGCUCUAGAGGUUCAAUUAUCACUUAUAACUUCACAACUCAUUUCAUAACUCGAGCCAAUGCUCUAAAAGUUCAAUUGUCACUUAUACUUUCACAAUUCGUUAUACAACUUGAGUCAAUGAUCCUCAAUGUUCAUAGGUCACAAUUCAUUCCACAAACUUUAUACAACAAUUAGAAACCAUCACCAAGGCAUGAAAGAUACAAUGAAGCCAUGAUAAUCACAAUAUAAAGACUCACAGGCAUGAUAGACCCCAACAUAUAGAUACUCGUCACCAUGUCUAUACGUCGUACUCAACAAUUACCACAUAGCAAAUAAGACUCAACUCCUAAUCUCUCAAGCUAAGGUUAGACCAAACACUAACCACGAUGCAACAAACACAAUUCAUGAUUCAAUUAUAGCUUUACCUCUUGAUUCCACCACCAAUUUGCUCGUAUCCAGUCACAAGUUACUUAAUUACAUCAAGAAACGCCAAAUGAAUCAGUUUGAAUGCAUAAAAAUGAGUUUUCUAAAGUUUUGCCCAGAAAGUCAAAAAUUGCCCCCGGACCCACAUGGUCAAAACCCGAGGUUCGAACCAAAACCCAACCCAUUCCCCCACGAACCUAAAUAUAUAAUUUAUUUUGAAAUCGAACCUUAAAUCGAGGUCCAAAUCACCAAUUUUUGAAAAACCUAGGUUCUACCCAAAACGCCCAAUUUCCCCCAUGAAAAUCAUUGAUUUUAAGUUGAAAUCAUGUUAAAAGAUGUUAAUGAUUGAAGAAAAUGGGUUAAAAUUAACUUACAAUCGAUUUGAAAGAAGAGUUGUUCUUGGAAAAUCGCCCUAAGGAGUUUGUGUUUUGAAAAGAUGUAAAAAAUAAAUUUAAAUUCGUCUAAGUAUAAAAGUUAUAGGUCUCAGACAUGAGAAUUGCGAACAAGGGUUCGUAAUUGCGAACCCCGACCUCUGCUGGCUUGGGAAUUGCGAAGGGAGUUUGAAAAAUGCGAACUGGGAAUUGCAAAGGGAGUUUGGGAAUUGCGAACUGGGAAUUGCGAAGGGAGUUUGGGAAAUGCGAACUGGGAAUUGAGAAGGGAGGUUGGGAAAUGCGAACUGGGAAUUGUGAAGGGAGGUUGAGAAAUGCGAAGCCUGCAGGCUUGCAAUUUCUUAAGUCCAAAAUUUCACCCCGUGGUCUCCAAAACUCACCCGAGCCCUCGGGGCUCCAAACCAAACAUGUACACCACCCUAAAAAUAUCAUACGGACUCACUCGUGCAUUCAAAUCACUAAAAUAACAUCAACAACUAUGAAUUUAGCAUCAAAAUUAUGAAGCUUUUCUCAAGACUUCAAAUUUCCAAUUUUCUCAAUAACUAUCUGAUUCACGUCGUUUCAAGUCCGUUUUUUACCAAAUUUCAUAGAAUUAUCUUAAAUCAUAAAUAAGACAUGUACCGAGCACCGGAACCAAAAUGCGGGCACGAUACCAACAUGUUCUAAUCAAAAUUCAUUUCCAAACUUUAUAGACAAUUUGAGAAAAUAAUUUUCUUCAAAAAUUUAAUUUCUCGGGCUUGGGACCUCGGAAUUCGAUUUUGAGCAUACGCCCAAGUCCCAUAUUUUUCUUACGGGUCCGGGUCUGUUUAUCCAAAACGUUGACCAAAGUCAAAUUAAUUCAUUUUAUAGUCAAAAUUUAUCAUUUUUCAUAGAUUUUCACAUUUAGGCUUUCCGGCUAUGCGCCUGGACUGCACAUGUAAAACGAGGUGAUGCUAAGAGAGGUUUUUAAGGUCUCGGAACAUAGAAUUUUAUCACAAAGGAUUAUAUAUAUUUAUGGAUCGGGAUGCACGCCUCAGCGAUAUAUAUAUAUAUAUGGAUCGGGCUGCACGUCGCAGCGAUAUGUUGGAUCGAGCUCCGCACCGCAACGAUAUAGCCCUUGGGCUGUAAGAGCCUCUCCGGAGUCUGUACAUCCCCAGUGAGCGUAGUCGACUAUAUAUAUUUAUGGAUCGGGCUGCACGCCACAACAGUUAUUAUUAUGAGAUAUCUAUUGAGCGGGAGUGCUGAGUGUGAGUACCGAUUAACGAGAAUUGAGUCGCGAGUGACUGAGAGGCUUGCCCGAGGGGCUAUUCUUAUAAGUGAUACUUUGCUCGAGGGGCUUGUUUAUGAAAUUACUAUUUUCGCUCUUCUUUUUAUAUUGAACCUCUAUUGAAAAAUAUUGAAUAAAUUCUUUAAAGAACUUUCAUUGAAACUAGAGUUAUUACGAGAUAUUCGGUUAUUGAACUAUAGAUUUUGACUUUGAUAUUUCUUUUGAGAUUCUUUGAUAGAGUAUGUAUAUGAUUUUAAAUGCUCGUCACUGCACUCAGCCUUUAUUUACUUUGGUUACUUACUAAGUUGGCGUACUCACGUUACUCCCUGUACCUUCUGUGCAGAUCCAGGUGACAGAGCCUCCGAGUGAGAGCUGAUCGUUGCCUUAAGAGUAUUAGCCUCCGAGUGCCCUGCCUUUCUCCUUCCUGACCUUAGUAUUAUAUAUUUCAAUCUUAUCUUGUAUUAAGCAGACAGUAUUGGGUUGUGUUUAGUGGCUCAUGACUAGUGACACCGGGAUCGAGCUGGGUUGAUGUACUUUCGUAUUUGUUUUUCCACGUAUUUUGAUAUAUAUUAAAAUGAAAGAUCUGAGAUUAUAUCUUAUUAGAAAAUAAAUUUACAAAAGACCUUUAUAUUGUUCGUGUUAAUUCGGCUGGCCUAGUACUGUGACAGGUGCCAUCACGACCGGGGUGUUUGGGGUCGUGACAAUUAAUAGCCUUGGUAUUACUAAUAUCAUGAUUUUCUACGCAUUACUUAUGCAUAGGAUAAUACCAAGUAUGAUGUAUAACUAAUAUAAGUAUUAGUUAUAUACAGGUUGAAAAAAUAUAUCAAACAAAAUAUUAGUAAUGUAUUAUUCUAAUGCUUGCAUUAUUUUUUCUAAUACCUCUUACCAAACGACUCCUAAGUGUCCUAAUAAUAAUCUCAUCCAAUUAGAAACGUCAUAGGUAAAAUUGUGCGCAACUCUUUUAAUGUUCUACACCAUCACAAGACUAAUUGCACAACGUAACAUACACUCCAUAUGUUCUCAACUUCUCAUAGCCAAAUCGCCUUAUGAGAUGCCAUACUCUCACCAAAAUCAAAUAAACAUGACAUGGCUUAUGCGACAUAUAGCGUGUUUGGCCAAGCAUUUCCGGCCUUCAAAGUUAAAGUGUUUGGCCAAGCUUUUAGAAGGAAAAAAAUGAUUUUCAGUAUAAGCAGAAGUAGUUUUGGAGAAGCAGAACAAAGUAACUUCUCCACAAAAGCACUUUUUUGAAAAGCAUUUUUGAGAAAAAUACACUUAGAAGUAAUUUUUAAAAGCUUGGCCAAACACUAAUUGCUGCCCAAAAGUGCUUUUCAAAUAUCAGAAUUUCAAAAAUAAAAUCUUGAUAUUUUUUUUUGAGUUUCUUUAAUAUGUGUAUUAGCAAUGCAAGAAUUAAAUUACUUAAAGGGAAAGAUGCCCAUUAAAAUAAGUAAUUUAUAUAUACAAUCCGUUCAUCAUUACUCAAUGCAUAACAAUUCUUUUAUUUUUAAUCCCCGCAUAAACAAUCUUUGCAUUAUAUUUUUCCCCCUUAACUCGUAAGCCAACACAACAACUCCUAAGUUUCUUAAUAAUAAUCUUAUCCAAUUAGAAACGUCAUAGGUAAACUUAACUAGCGUGUCAUCAAUGUAAACUUUCAUAGAUUGGCCUAUUUGAUAUUCGAACAUCUUAUUAACUAGGCGUUGGUACAUAUCUCUUGCGUUUUUUAGCCUAAAAGGCAUUACAUUAUAACAAUAUAUACAAUACUUCGUGAUGAGCGAAGUUUCUUCCCUAUCCUCUAGGUUCAUUUGAAUUUGAUUAUACCCGGAGUAGGCGUCGAGCAAAGUGACUCGAUUCUUUUAGUCAAUUCCUCGAGCAUUUUCAUGAUUGUAGCUAGGGUCAGUCCCCGAGCCACUUUCAUCGGGUGUUUCUAGCACUGGUUCGUACUGCAUGUUUAUUGGCUCAGCGGUGUUAAGGGUUCUGUUCUGACUUUGAAAUUGAGCGAUGGCGACUUGCUGAGCUUACAACAUCUCGAAUAUCACUUGGAGGCUGACUCCUCCUUCUUCCAUUCCUCAUGCUUUUUGGCCUCCAACGUGGGCUUCACUACGUGUAUUCCUUAUGGGACCUGCGCUGCUUUCGUGUUUAGAGCGUUGUGGGAGCUGAUAUCAACUGACUCCACGUUUGGCAUUCCCUCAAGGUUUACAGGUGGUACACUAAGCCCUAUGCUACUAUUUUCUCCAAGUCCCUCACUGUCGUGAAAAGGUGCAUUUUGUGUCCUAGACAUGAUUAAGUCUGAAAUCAAAGAAUUUCUGACAAGUAAAAGUGUGAAGAAUAACGUGUGUUAUCAGAAAACUAGCACCAAAACAAUCACUAUUAUUUUUAUCCCCACGAUGGGCGCCAAACUAUUUACCUUUAAAAAUGGUAAUAACAAUUAUAUUUGAGUUGUGGCUCUAAAAAUAUGUGAUUUAUUUCAAUACUAGUUAUUAGGAAAUAGAUGCUAAGUGUAAGUAAAGAGAAUAAGAUAUGCAAACUAAUGUUGUCUCAAGACUGAUCCUCGAGCUGGCUGGAAUAGGGGCUUCGAGGUCCGGUUAGGAUAGCCAGUAAUGGAUGAUUGAUGAAGGAACAACGAUAAUGAAGGCCUCAAAGGUAGCCUUUUGUUGUUAAUAAUGGGCAAUAAAUGAAGAACAAUAAAUGAACAAGCAAUAAAUCUGUAGAAUAAUUGUUGAACACGUUUAGGCGAGAAGAGCAGAGAAUGUUGUAUUGUAUUCAAUAUCCAUCUGUAUUACAAACUGACAAGGGUCCCCUUUAUAUAGGAGAAGGAAAUCAUAACAUAGUACAUGUCUAAUAACAAUGAGGAAAUGCUAUUGGUACAGCUGUAAAAUGGCUUAGAGCCUGUUUGGAUUGGCUUAAAAGAUGGUCAAACCAGCUUUUAAGCCAUUUUUAGAUGUUAGGAGUGUUUGGCAAAAAAGAAAACAACUUAAAAAAUGUUAAAAUUGGCUUAAAAAAAGCCAAAAGCCACAAGUUGGUUGAUCCCAACUUUUUUCUUUUAGCUUAAAAGCCAACUAUUUUUGACCAAGUAUUUUACCCUCUUAUCCCUAAUAAUAUUUAUUAUUCCAGAAAUGUCCUUCACAACAAAAUCUCAAUUGAACUCUAUUCUUUCCCGUUCUCUAUUCCUAUAACUUCCUCCCUUGUAUUUCUUCAUUUUGCUCUUUUUCUUUCUGGUUCUUCUUCGGUUGGUAACACUUGAUUUGAUUCACAUUUUGACUUUUUGCUUCAUUUUUUUUCCACCGCCACUUAUCUAGAUGGGAUUAUCUAAAGUAUUUCCCAAUUAUUUUCGUUUCAUUUCAUACUAUUUUUUUAUAUCAAUAAUCAUGCAAUUCAUAUGUUUCGCCAGUAAGCUUGGAAUUUCAAGCUUAGGUGCUCCGAGCCCAUCGAGGCCGGGCCUGAAACGCAGCCUUAAAAUCGGCCCUUAAAAUCGGCCUUCCUUGAUUUUGACCGUAUACAAUUUCGAAAGUGAAUCACUGUGUCAUGUAUUAUUAAAGUAUAUACUAUAUGAAUUAGAUAUCCCAAAAGCAUACAACGUACAUACUUACUUGAUAUUUUGUAAAAUAAAAUUUCCAAAUAAAUAAAUUGUAGUAAUAUUUUUAUUAAAAUUAAUUUUUACUGAUACUUACCUUUUACCGCAUGAAUUUUUCUUUCAAGAUAAUGACUUCAACCUUCUCAAACUUUGACCAGCUAGGGGAACACUGGGACCCAUCUAGCAUCGAUGCUUAAUGAACAACCUAAUUCUUCGGUUGGCUAGAGUUCCAUAAAGUGACCACUUUUCUGCCAUCGCUUUCAACGUUUUCUUUUACAUUUUUCCAUUCUUUUUCAUCAGUGGGAGGAUUUCAAUUACAACUUUUCACCUAAAGAUGAAUCCCAAUUUUGUGCCGAAAACUAGUUCUCUCUUAUUAUUACUUUGAUUUCUCUACGUCUAAACCAGUGUGUUAAAAGGCUUUUUGGGACUCGUCCAAGGUUCACUCUUAGAAGAUGUACUUGCAAAAUAUCUUGAGGCUCAUAUGUGAAACUUAAUUUUGCUUAAAGCUUACGCUUUAAGCAACGGCGGUUCAGGACUCCUAAUGGUUCUUAUGCAAAUAAUAUGUCAAUUCUCUAAAUACCGUUGUGGAUCCUCAAAAUUCUUUAACAAAUAAUAAAUUUCUAUUAUCUAAAGGAAUAUGAAAAUUGAGAGUAUCUCAAAUAUGGAAUAAUAAUAUUGUAUAUAUACCAAUUGAGAAUAUCAUGAGGGUGAAAAUCACUUGAACAUUUCUUCUGAAAAUAGAUAGCCAAAAUCACUUGCUAUUGAUCUUCAUGCCUUAGUUUCUAUAUUUUUCAAAAUUAUCAUACUUUUACAAUUUUGCUAUUUAAAAAAUAUUUUGCAUUUAUCCAUAAAAGGGUAAUAUUUUAAAUUAUACUACUGAUAAAGCUUAUGCGUUAUUUAUUUUUAGGAAGGUAAAAUGUGUAGUUUGAUAAUAUUUUUUUAAAAAUUUUUAAAUUUUUACUCUUUUGAAAGUUAAGACAUUAUACUUGUAAAAUCAUACAAGAUAUUUUAUUUUUUAUGAGUUUCUUCAAUAUGUGUAUUAGCAAUGAGAGAAUUAAAUUAAUUAAAGGAAAAGAUGCCCAUUUAAAAUAAGUAAUUUACGUAUACAAUCCAUUCAUUAUUACUCAAUGCAUAACAAUUCUUUUAUUUUUAAUAACCACAUAAACAAUCUUUGGAUUAUAUUUCCCCCCCUUAACUCGUAAGCCAAGUGUCUUAAUAAUCUCAUCCAAUAGAAACGCCAUAGCUAAAAUUGUGCGCAACUCUUUUAAUGUUCUACACAAUCAAAAGUAGGGAUGACAAUGGAGCGAUGCAGGUGCGGAGCGAGGCAGGUUUGAUCUUAUGCGGGUCGGACGAGUUUUGAUUUUAUGCGGGGCGGGGCGAGUUUUGAUCUUAUGCGGGGCGGGGCGAGUUUUGAUCUUAUGCGGGUGCGUGACGAGUGCGGGACAGGUUGAAACUAUUUUUUCAAAGACUAACGUGGGACAGGACGGUUGCAGGUUUCCUCACAGCACUUCUCAACCUAUAUAACUUUUUUUAACACAACUUCUAAAUGACUAGCAGCAUUUCAAUCUGUGUUUUGGAAGUUUUGUUUGUCUUUUAAUAUUAUACAGUAAGUAUUUUGAUCCAGCAUCAACAGGGUAAUACUUGAUAUGAUUAAAUUAGUCAAUGUUUGCCAAUAAUAGCUAGUCACCCCACAUUUGACGGAUUUUCAUUAAAACAAGAUAAGCUGUCACAAGUCGUUUCUUCAGAUUCAUUUAGGAAAGCUAAUGGAAAUACGAAAAUCCCAAAAAUACAAUAGUAAUGAACUAGAAAUGCAUGCACAUAUUUAUAAUCCUGAAAAUAGAAAUAUAAUAUUUGGUUCCAUAUGGGGGAUUUAAGAAACUGAAAAAAGUGAAAUAUUAAACUUGUGUUUUUUUAGCAAAAAAGAAAAAAAAAAUUGCGGGGCGGAGCGGGGCAGGGCGAGGCAAGUCUUUGCGAGGCGGGACGGGGCGGGUUGAAAUUAUGCGGGUUAAGCUCCAACCCACCCUGCCCCGCCUCGCCCCGUUGCCAUUCCUAAAUUCACAAUACUAAGUCCAUAACGUAACAUACACACAGCCAAAUCGCCUUAUCGGAUGCCAUACUCUUACCAAAAUCAAAUAUAUUGCUUAUGCCACGUAUAAUAUGUUUGACCAAGCUUCUCUAGCCCCCAAAGCAUUGUUUCUUUUCAAAAAAAGUGUUUAUUUUCAAAGUUGAACUGUUUGGCCAAGCUUUUAGAAGAAUUUUUUUUUAAAAUAGAAGCAGAAGUAAUUUUGGAGAAGCAGAAAAAAGUAGCUUCUCUUUGGAAGCACUCUUUUAAAAAGCACUUUUGAGAAAAAUACACAUAGAAAUACUUUUUUUACAGCUUAGUCAAACACUAAUUGCUGUUCAGAAGUGUUUUUCAAAUUAAUUAGCCAAACACAAAUUGAUUCUCACCAAAAAUAUUUUUGAUAAAAACACAUUUAAGAAAAAUUACUUCUCAAAAUAAGCUGAUUUUAGAAGCUUGGUCAAACAGACUAAUAAUCACCGGGAAAAAAGCAUUUAGCUGAGCUCAAUCAAAAUACUUUGAGAAAACCUCAGGAUAUCAAAAUUAGUUUUUCUUGGAAUUGAGAUUGCGGCGAUAAGAUUUAGGGUUGUUCUCAAAAGCAUAUAAACACUUAUCCACACGGAGUGUUUAUAUUAAAUCAAAUAAUUUAACCUAAUAAUUAAAAACUAAUGUAACAAUACAUAUCACUUUACCAUGUUAAAUGUGGAGAGUAAAUUUUUAUCUGUAAUGCCUUGAUAUCCUUGCAUUAUGCCUACGUCCUGGAGCUUUAUUCACCAUUUUGACAUUUCCUUUUUUGCCUUUGCAGCAGCAACCACAUAGGUAAAAGAAAAUUAGCACCAACCCAACUGAAAUGGUAAAGGCUAUUGGGGAUUGCAUCCAACUUUGCACUAUAUUUGAUCUUUUAAGUGUCUCCUUUGCAUUUUCCACCAUAUUUUCUGCUGAUUUUAAGGUCACUGACUUCAAUUCGUCCAUUCCAAAUUCUAUGUCGCUCUCUCUCUACUUCCCAGCUACGGCACAACUUUUUCUUGGAAGAAAACUAAUGACCUUUUUUCUUUUCUUUGACAGACCACGCGUAGGAUCAACGGUGUUCAUAAGCAAUUUUACACGGUUUGAUAUUAAUUAUCAUAACCACUCCACCUAACUUUGAUGCAACUACCUUAGUUAUUGGC
Molecule: long non-coding RNA, 10611 nt
Filed under: Nicotiana tabacum (common tobacco)
Lineage: Eukaryota; Viridiplantae; Streptophyta; Magnoliopsida; Solanales; Solanaceae
Description: long non-coding RNA (NTAB_LNC013661)
Source: RNAcentral